GGCUCCAUCAUCUAACGGUUAGGAUUCAAGGUUUUCAUCCUUGCCAUAGGGGUUCAAAUCCCCUUGGAGUCACCA
This 75-nucleotide transfer RNA is filed under the name Campylobacterota bacterium. RNAcentral describes it as "Epsilonproteobacteria bacterium tRNA-Glu". It matches the Rfam family "tRNA". From Rfam's summary of the family: Transfer RNA (tRNA) molecules are approximately 80 nucleotides in length. The record is from RNAcentral. Lineage: Bacteria; Pseudomonadati; Campylobacterota.